RNAcentral lists this long non-coding RNA (208 nucleotides) under Gossypium barbadense (sea-island cotton). RNAcentral describes it as "long non-coding RNA (GBAR_LNC008459)". Lineage: Eukaryota; Viridiplantae; Streptophyta; Magnoliopsida; Malvales; Malvaceae. The record is from RNAcentral.
AAGAAACCUCUUUUGCUUUGAUAUUUGAUUAAUCUCCAAAAAAAAAACUAGCCUCUCCAAAAACUAGCCUUUACAAUAACUCUUCUCCUUGAUUACUCUAAAAAAACCUCUCAAAAAUCCUUUACAAUAACUUUCUCCCCCAAAACUUCUUCCUCCCCUAAAUACAAAUUAUGAGAAGGCUUAUAUAGCCAUUUACAAAAUAUUUUUU